RNAcentral lists this long non-coding RNA (577 nucleotides) under Felis catus (domestic cat). RNAcentral describes it as "lncRNA (ENSFCAG00000051706.1)". The record is from RNAcentral. Lineage: Eukaryota; Metazoa; Chordata; Mammalia; Carnivora; Felidae.
CUGGGAUGGGACAGGCAGCUAUGGCGUCCUGAACUUCAAAAGCAUGCGCAGGGAGCCUACUGCAAAUCAGAUUGGUGGUUCUCUUUGGGAGCUAUUGACCUGUGGGUCUUGGUGUUUCAGACACCAGUGGCCAGGCAAACGGAAUCAGGAGUCAGGCACUGGGAAAGAAGAAAGAAGGGCAGGAGUGGCACCCAGAAGACCGGAAUUAACGCCCAGAACCGGGCUCUGGGGACAGCACAGCAGGAGGCAGCUGCCGCAGACUGGAGGAAAGGGACCUCUGCGGGCUCAGCAAGGGGAUCCCGAGAGCCCUCCGCGGACCUCAGACCCAUAGCAACUAGAGUCCAAGGUGAGGGCCCUGGCACUCGCGGUCCCGGGGUGCAGGGCACAGAGCCCCCGCUGGGGAAUGAGGAACAGCAGAGGGGCGCCCACCCCGUGCUAGCUAGCUGGUGACAUUGGGGAAGCCCAGAACUGAGCUGCACUUCAUUUCCCACAUCUGUGAGCGGGGCAGGUGCCCCCACUCCCCUCGCUGGGGGUUGGUGAGGAAUAAAUGAGUUACAGCGUAGAAGGGAUUGGAGCA